UCUCCUCUAGCUUAGUGGUAGAGCGUUCGACGGAUGCGGAAGGUCAUAGGUUCAACUCCUGUUGGAAGAA
Molecule: non-coding RNA, 70 nt
Organism: Desmophyllum pertusum
Lineage: Eukaryota; Metazoa; Cnidaria; Anthozoa; Scleractinia; Caryophylliidae
Source: the annotation of a GenBank genome assembly